Molecule: ribosomal RNA, 406 nt
Filed under: uncultured bacterium
Lineage: Bacteria
Description: partial 16S ribosomal RNA
Rfam family: Bacterial small subunit ribosomal RNA
Source: RNAcentral
AUUGAACGCUGGCGGCAGGCCUAACACAUGCAAGUCGAACGAGUGGCGGACGGGUGAGUAAUGUCUGGGUAUCUGCGUGAUGGGGGGGGAUCUCUUCGGGACACGGGAACUAAUACCGUAUACCAUCAUAUGUGCACAGAUGGGAUUAGCUAGUUGGUGGGGGAAAGGCACACCAAGGCGACGAUCCCUCGCUGGUCUGAGAGGCUGACCAGCCACACUGGAACUGAGACACGGUCCAGACUCCUACGGGAGGCAGCAGUGGGGAAUAUUGCACAAUGGGCGCAAGCCUGAUGCAGCCAUGCCGCGUGUAUGAAUAAGGCCUUCGGGUUGUAAAGUACUUUCAGCGGGGAGGCGUUACCCACAGAAGAAGCACCGGCUAACUCCGUGCCAGCAGCCGCGGUAAUAC